AAUGAACGCUGGCGGCAUGCCUUACACAUGCAAGUCGAACGGCAGCAUGACCUAUCUUGCUAGGUUGAUGGCGAGUGGCGAACGGGUGAGUAAUGCAUCGGAACGUGCCUUUUAGUGGGUGAUAACGUAGCGAAAGUUACGCUAAUACCUCAUAUUCUCUGAUGCGGAAAGCAGGGGGCCUUCUUGCCUUGCGCUAGGAGAGCGGCCGAUGUCGUAUUAGCUAGUUGGGGAGGUAAACGGUCACCAAGUCAACGAUCCGUAGCGGGUCUGAGAGGAUGAUACGCCACCCUGGGACUGAGACACGGACCAGACUACUGCGGGAGGCCGCAGUGGGGAAUUUUGGACAAUGGGCGCAAGCCUGAUACAGCCAUGCGGAGUGAGUGAAGAAGGCCUUCGGGUUGUAAAGAUCUUUCGGCUGGGAAGAAAUCGCACUCUCUAAUACAGGGUGUGGAUGACGGUACCAGAAUAAGAAGCACCGGCUAACUACGUG
RNAcentral lists this ribosomal RNA (490 nucleotides) under uncultured bacterium. RNAcentral describes it as "partial 16S ribosomal RNA". It matches the Rfam family "Bacterial small subunit ribosomal RNA", at positions 29 to 507 of the family's 1533-position model. The record is from RNAcentral.